GGUGAGUUAUUGCCAUAUGUUCAGUUUAACCUAUGCUAUUACUAGUAAUUACCUAUUUGACUUCCAAAUCUAGUGAAGGCAUACCCAGAAGCCAGAACUAGCUGAAGUAUGCAACUGAACCAAUGAUAUUUCUGUCAACGAGGUGUCAUUCACCCAUUCUUUUGGCACAAAACCUAAUUAUUAAAAGAGUCACUCGCUCUUGGUAGUGCUCUUUGUCAACACAACACCCUACGAAUUUGCUGGCUUCUGCCAAAAUUUUCUGUCCACUUUGUUUUUUUUUUCUUUUCAGGAUUCAGGACACCUGUACUUUAUAGUGGUUCCAUAAGUAACCCUUGUGAUUUCCGUUGAGCAUUUUCUUUGGGUUCGAUGUUUUUUAAAGUAUUUAAAAUUUCUACUUCAUUAUUUUCGAUAAAUUCAUGGCACAGUUUUAAGCACAUAAUUGUUUUUUUUAAAAAAUAAGUAGCAGGAGCUCUGCUAUUCAUAUAAGAUCGGAGAAGGGUUUCAAAAACAUAGGUAGGUUAAGCACAUAAUUGUUGAUCAGUUAUUUUGGGGCAAAUAUUCUAUUUAUUUGGGAAACAGUAUUUCAUUUCAUUCAUAAGUUGUUUCCCUGUCUGAUUUAUCGUUUAAAAUGACCCUUCACAUCAUGAUUUGUUAUUCAGCAACACUUGUCUGUCGUGGUCUUUCCACUUGGCGGUACUUUAGAAAUCUUGCAUGUUGAGUGGGCUGGCUGGAAAGUGCCGGUCUAUUUCUACUUAAUUUGACUUGGGAAACUCUGCAUGCCCAAUGUGCUGGAAAGUGUAUAUCAGAGCUUACUACUGUGCCUGCAAAAGUAUGUUGGCAGGACCUUAGGAUCUCCACUACGAUAUAUUAUUAAAGCACAGUUGUUUUUAAAGAUCAUCAUACAAAAUACAUCUGGACAUACUAUGUAGAUCACUUUAUGCUCUGAUUGGCUGAAGUAAGACUUUGGGUAAUUGUUAUGUUUACAGGAACUCUUAUUUCUGAUGGUGUUUCUUGCUAUGCCAUUUUCAGGUUAGGACAGUCCUUGACAUAGAAUGUGGAUUUGGUACCUUUGGGGCGCAUCUUUUUGAGAGAGAUCUCUUGACCAUGUGCAUUGCUAACUAUGAAGCAUCAGGUAGCCAAGUCCAAAUUACACUGGAGAGAGGCAUUCCUGCAAUGAUUGGUUCAUUUGCAACGAAGCAGCUUCCGUAUCCCUAUCUUUCCUUUGAUAUGGUGCAUUGUGCUAAAUGCAAUAUCGAAUGGUACAAAAACGGUAUGUGUGAAAGUCUUCUUUCACAUGCCCUGGCCCUCAUUGACGAUUAUAAUGUUAUUCAGCAAUGUCUUAAGUUGGCACUUCACAUAUAAAGAUCGGUACAUGCCUAGCUGAAUAUUAAAUAUUUAAGGAUAUACAGUUGUGGGUGACUUUUGGUUGACUUGUAACCCUUGUCACUGCAAACUUUGCAUGCAUCUGAUUUCUGCAAAGACACAUUUAUGGUAAUUUGGCUAUAAAGUAGUAUCUCUUACAGUCUUACUAAAUAUGUAAACGUUGUUUUCUCUGUAAUUCUGCAGAUGGCAUUUUCUUGGUUGAAGUGAACAGGCUUUUGAGGCCUGGUGGAUAUUUUGUAUGGACAUCGAAUUUGAAUACACAUAGGGCCUUGCGAGACAAAGAAAACCAAAAGAAAUGGACAGCCAUUCGUGACUACGCUGAGGGCCUUUGUUGGGAGAUGCUGUCACAACAAGAUGAGACAAUUGUAUGGAAAAAGACGAAUAAAAGGGAAUGUUACAAAUCAAGGUAAUGUAGUGCUUAUCAACAACUACAAACUUUAUAAUAACAGAUAUUUAGUCUAGUGGUGAACUUACAGUGUUGUUUUACAGAAAAUUUGGGCCUGAGCUAUGUGGCCAUGAUCCAGAAUCACCAUACUACCAACCACUAAGCCCCUGCAUAUCAGGCACAAGAAGUCAGCGUUGGAUCCCCAUUGAACACCGUACCACCUGGCCAUCUCAGGCUAGGCAAAACUCAACAGAACUGGACAUACAUGGUAAGUAUUUGACUAAAUAAUACAAUUGAAAAAACAAGCAAACAAAUCAACGAAAUUUAAAAUAUGUUAGUGUCUUAAUGUUCAAAUGCUUGUCUGUGUUACAUUAAGAACCCUCUAAUUCAACAGGUGUGCAUUCAGAAGUCUUCGCUGAUGAUAAUUCAAGCUGGGACUCCAUGGUGCGAAACUACUGGUCUUUGCUAUCCCCACUUAUAUUUUCAGACCAUCCAAAGAGACCUGGUGAUGAAGACCCACAACCACCAUUUAACAUGCUAAGGAAUGUUUUAGAUAUGAAUGCUCAUUUUGGUGGAUUUAAUGCUGCUUUACUGAAGUCUGGAAAGUCUGUAUGGGUGAUGAAUGUUGUUCCUACAAAUGCCCCAAAUUAUCUACCACUAAUAUUUGACCGUGGUUUUAUUGGGGUUCAACAUGAUUGGUAAGUAGUAGUACAUGAUCUUUUGUCCUUUGUUGAUUUGAAUUUGUUUUACCCUUUUUUGUUUCAGGUGAGUGCUCUGGUAAUGCUAAAUCUUGAACUACCUUACUUGACAAAGUUUUCCAAACUAAACUUCAUAUGCAUAGUCAGUCAUAACUUGGAAAUGUUAAUACAUGCAAAUUUUAGGCAUAUGGAAAGUUGUUGAUAUAGAGGAAUUAGAGCAUCCUCAAUUUCACAUAAUUUUAUUAGAGUACAUGGAGAUUGAUGCAUAAUCAAAGUAUCAAUUUGAUAGACAACUUUCGGCAUAUCAAUCUUUGGAUCAUCCUCCAGUUAAAUGAUCGAUGGAUGGACAUGUGUUAGGUGUGACGCAUUUGCAACUUACCCAAGAACAUAUGAUAUGGUGCAUGCUGAUGGCUUUCUAUCACUUGAGAAGACCCACAAGCAUAGAUGUUCUACUCUUGACAUAUUCUUGGAAGUUGAUCGCAUCCUACGACCAGAGGUAAUGAAAAUUUGGUUAAUGACACUGAUUUGGAAUCCAUUAUUCAGCCGUGAAUCAUGUCUAUAAUUCAUUUCAAGGUUCUUGGAAGCAUGUAGAACAUAAGGCCUAACACUGCACUGUUUCUGGGUAUUCAUGAUUCUAAUUUCUAAACGGUACAAUCCGUAAAAUGGUUCAUAUGGUGCCAUUCUAAUUAGUGUUGCUUUUUAAAACAAUAAGUAUUUUUUUUCUUGAUUGCACCAUAUGGAAAGAGCCAGGGACAUUCAUAAAAAUAGUACAUUUAGCUUGGUUUAGUUUUUUUAAUAAACUGUCGCUCGUGUAUGGCCAUAUACUUUGGUACAGCUAUCUUUGUGAUCAUGGGCUAUGGGGACUCUACUAGUGCAGAGGUUUGUCAUUAGGUUUUGCAAUGGGAAAGAAAGAUACCCUAUCCCUAUGCUAUACUACAUUUAUUUACUGUACAAGUAUGAUGCACAAUUGCCAUUUACCCAUGAUGAAGGAAUGCGGCAGAAUUAUCAGACUAGUCUUGCACUGCAUACUUCCACACGUGUGGAGCUGUACGCAUCUGUCUCCAGUCGUAAGAUUAUUUUAUAUAAGUGUUGUCUAAUUUUUUUCCUGCUUGUUUGAUGUUGAUGUAGG
This 3595-nucleotide long non-coding RNA is filed under the name Zea mays. Its description in RNAcentral is "long non-coding RNA (ZMAY_LNC005056)". Lineage: Eukaryota; Viridiplantae; Streptophyta; Magnoliopsida; Poales; Poaceae. The record is from RNAcentral.